Molecule: non-coding RNA, 45 nt
Organism: Calypte anna (Anna's hummingbird)
Lineage: Eukaryota; Metazoa; Chordata; Aves; Apodiformes; Trochilidae
Source: Rfam
CCAAAGGCUCUUUUAAGAGCCACCCACUUACUCACCCAGGAAGAG